AUACUACCGUUUGAUGAAGAAGAGUAAUUAAACCCCACAUGAAAAGAGAAGAAAUGUCAUGGGCUGAAAGCAUUUCUGCAUGAUGAUUUAAUGAAUGAACACUUCGUAGGUUUCUCUCUGAAAGAAGCAAUUGCUUUUAGUAGGAGUUGAACGUUAACAGGCGUUAACUGUAAAAGAGGAAGAUCGUCAAGUUUGGCGGCUUCAACUAGGGUGGCACCACGGGAAUCUCAGAAGCUCUCGUCCCUUGU
Molecule: non-coding RNA, 248 nt
Filed under: Bacillus sp. (in: firmicutes)
Lineage: Bacteria; Bacillati; Bacillota; Bacilli; Caryophanales; Bacillaceae
Description: Bacillus sp. T-box sequence
Rfam family: T-box leader
About the family: Uncharged tRNA acts as the effector for transcription antitermination of genes in the T-box leader family. T-boxes are found upstream of many aminoacyl-tRNA synthetase genes and some amino acid biosynthetic genes usually in Gram-positive bacteria.
Source: RNAcentral